UGGGGAAUAUUGGACAAUGGGCGCAAGCCUGAUCCAGCCAUGCCGCGUGAGUGAUGAAGGCCCUAGGGUUGUAAAGCUCUUUCAGUGGGGACGAUAAUGACGGUACCCACAGAAGAAGCCCCGGCUAACUUCGUGCCAGCAGCCGCGGUAAUACGAAGGGGGCUAGCGUUGUUCGGAAUUACUGGGCGUAAAGCGCACGUAGGCGGACUUUUAAGUCAGGGGUGAAAUCCCGGGGCUCAACCCCGGAACUGCCUCUGAUACUGGAAGUCUCGAGUGUGGUAGAGGUGAGUGGAAUUGCGAGUGUAGAGGUGAAAUUCGUAGAUAUUCGCAGGAACACCAGUGGCGAAGGCGGCUCACUGGACCACAACUGACGCUGAGGUGCGAAAGCGUGGGGAGCAAACAGG
This 404-nucleotide ribosomal RNA is filed under the name uncultured bacterium. RNAcentral describes it as "bacterial SSU rRNA". It matches the Rfam family "Bacterial small subunit ribosomal RNA", at positions 355 to 776 of the family's 1533-position model. The record is from RNAcentral.